UGGGGAAUAUUGGACAAUGGGCGCAAGCCUGAUCCAGCAAUACCGCGUGUGUGAAGAAGGCCUUAGGGUUGUAAAGCACUUUCAAUUGGGAGGAAAACCUGCCGGUCAAUACCCGGUAGCUUGACAUUACCUUUAGAAGAAGCACCGGCGUAACUCCGUG
Molecule: ribosomal RNA, 160 nt
Filed under: uncultured type I methanotroph
Lineage: Bacteria; Pseudomonadati; Pseudomonadota; Gammaproteobacteria; Methylococcales; Methylococcaceae
Description: partial 16S ribosomal RNA
Rfam family: Bacterial small subunit ribosomal RNA
Source: RNAcentral